GACGAACGCUGGCGGCGGGCUUAACACAUGCAAGUCGAACGGAAAGGCCCUGCUUUUGUGGGGUGCUCGAGUGGCGAACGGGUGAGUAACACGUGAGUAACCUGCCCUUGACUUUGGGAUAACUUCAGGAAACUGGGGCUAAUACCGGAUAGGAGCUCCUGCUGCAUGGUGGGGGUUGGAAAGUUUCGGCGGUUGGGGAUGGACUCGCGGCUUAUCAGCUUGUUGGUGGGGUAGUGGCUUACCAAGGCUUUGACGGGUAGCCGGCCUGAGAGGGUGACCGGCCACAUUGGGACUGAGAUACGGCCCAGACUCCUACGGGAGGCAGCAGUGGGGAAUAUUGCACAAUGGGCGGAAGCCUGAUGCAGCAACGCCGCGUGCGGGAUGACGGCCUUCGGGUUGUAAACAGCUUUCGCCUGUGACGAAGCGUGAGUGACGGUAAUGGGUAAAGAAGCACCGGCUAACUACGUG
RNAcentral lists this ribosomal RNA (468 nucleotides) under uncultured bacterium. RNAcentral describes it as "partial 16S ribosomal RNA". It matches the Rfam family "Bacterial small subunit ribosomal RNA", at positions 28 to 507 of the family's 1533-position model. The record is from RNAcentral.